ACAGGGAUUGCCCUAGUAACGGCGAGUGAAGCGGCAACAGCUCAAAUUUGAAAUCUGGCUCUUUUAGGGUCCGAGUUGUAAUUUGCAGAGGGCGCUUUGGCGUUGGCAGCGGUCCAAGUUCCUUGGAACAGGACGUCACAGAGGGUGAGAAUCCCGUACGUGGUCGCUGGUCUUCGCCGUGUAAAGCCCCUUCGACGAGUCGAGUUGUUUGGGAAUGCAGCUCUAAAUGGGAGGUAAAUUUCUUCUAAAGCUAAAUACUGGCCAGAGACCGAUAGCGCACAAGUAGAGUGAUCGAAAGAUGAAAAGCACUUUGGAAAGAGAGUCAAAUAGCACGUGAAAUUGUUGAAAGGGAAGCGCUUGCAGCCAGACUUGCCUGUAGUUGCUCAUCCGGGCUUUUGCCCGGUGCACUCUUCUAUAGGCAGGCCAGCAUCAGUUUGGGCGGUUGGAUAAAGGUCUCUAUCACGUACCUCUCUUCGGGGAGGCCUUAUAGGGGAGACGACAUGCAACCAGCCUGGACUGAGGUCCGCGCAUUUGCUAGGAUGCUGGCGUAAUGGCUGUAAGCGGCCCGUCUUGAAACACGGACCAAGGAGUCUAACAUCUAUGCGAGUGUUUGGGUGUCAAGCCCGAACGCGUAAUGAAAGUGAACGGAGGUGGGAACCCUUUAGGGCGCACCAUCGACCGAUCCUGAUGUCUUCGGAAGGAUUUGAGUAAGAGCAUGGCUGUUGGGACCCGAAAGAUGGUGAACUAUGCUUGAAUAGGGUGAAGCCAGAGGAAACUCUGGUGGAGGCUCGCAGCGGUUCUGACGUGCAAAUCGAUCGUCAAAUUUGGGCAUAGGGGCGAAAGACUAAUCGAACUAUCUAGUAGCUGGUUCCUGCCGAAGUUUCCCUCAGGAUAGCAGUAACGUAUUCAGUUUUAUGAGGUAAAGCGAAUGAUUAGAGGCCUGGGGGUUGAAACAACCUU
This 960-nucleotide ribosomal RNA is filed under the name Plenodomus biglobosus. RNAcentral describes it as "eukaryotic LSU rRNA". It matches the Rfam family "Eukaryotic large subunit ribosomal RNA", at positions 68 to 1048 of the family's 3401-position model. Lineage: Eukaryota; Fungi; Ascomycota; Dothideomycetes; Pleosporales; Leptosphaeriaceae. The record is from RNAcentral.